GUGUGUGCGUGUGUGUGUAGGGUUUUAUAUAAUGUGUAAUGUGUAUAGUGUUGUCAGUGACAUGGCGUGUUCCUUCAUCCUGACUGCAAACACCGAUCGCCCGUCCAUCAAUGCCGGUGAUCUACCUACCGGUCCUCUUCGGCUUGCCUUUCGCGGGUGCGGUAAACGUUUCCAUGGUAACAGCGAGCUCCACCAAUCAAUGAAGUCGUGUGCUGAAUUACUAGGCCCACAGACCCACAGUCCUGAAGAGGAGCUAGGCUACUUUCGGCUAACGGAAGGCAAAUGCUAACCUCACGAGCUCCCCUCCUGGGCGCACAAUGAUGAAUUUGGAUUUAAACGACUAUUUGGAAUCUGGCGUGUUGCGGUGACUGCGACUGGAUGCCUUGACUCUCUUCAUGGUUACCCGGCCAGCUCUGUGUUCCUUCUCAAGAUUUCCUCCUUGCUAAUUAAGGUUUCCUGAUGAGUUCUGAGGGAGUCUGAUGGACUUCAAUACCCAGAGACACCCCUGGAGAAAGACAAGAAGAGACUAGCAUUGUGAACCGCUCUUCAGUAACAUGCUCUAACAUGAAAUAUUGUACAGAGUUUAAACCCAUAAUGCAAAAUGACAUAAAAUAUCCUAUAGUAUCUGUUCAUCAAUCUCAUAAUUAUCAUAUAUUAUAAUGGUUGACAAUAUUUCCUAAUGGAUUAUUCAAUUGAUUCUAGUUAUUACCUGUGAAGUAAAGUAUACACAGGAGUCUCAUUUCAACUGAUGCUGCCCUUUGCUAUCCAGUAGAAGCUAAGGUAUUGCAAACCAUUGUGUAUGAAGCCAAUAGUUGUGUGAGGCGGAGCAGGAAGUGAUGUCCCCAGACACUGGUAUACCAAUGUUUCGGUAGAGAUAUGAGAGGGAAUUGGCACAUUGCUCUCCUGGGUCUCCUGGGAACAUCUGGCAACCAUUACCAUUGCAUUAGCUUAAGGCAAUAACAUUAUGUAUAUAGGCUAUGUGUCCUUCAAUAAAUAUCGCGAUUAACGCAAUAAUUCUGAUGAUUGAAGUAGAAAUGGUUUCAGUAGGGUAAAUUGCAAUCCGAUCAAAGGUCUGCUAAGUUUCUUGGUUCAUUGGUUUGUGGAUAUGUUUGAUAUGAAUUCUCAAUUACAAAGAGACAUUUCAUCUAUUGUUUACUUUAAAAUUACACUGGUGGAAAUUGUUCUUAAACGUCUACUUCAACUAGAGAAAAGACAUACAAGGAAAGGACACCCACGUACCCCAUUUUAUUUUUAUUUUCAGCCACCAUGUGCCUUGUAUAACAUCUUGCCAAAGGACUUCAGUUGAAAAUUUGCCUGCUGGCUAACACUGGCACAUUUACAGAAAUGUUGAUCAAUGUGCACUGUCCUUUAAAUAAAUAAAUAAAUAAAUGAAAAAUGAAUGGGUCUACGGUAAAUGCUUUAUCGGCAGUAGUUUGGUCAGUAAGAUCUUUCCUUAAAUAAUAAUGUAAUAUUAUGUUGUUUAUGUCCCAAAGUAGGCUAACCAUGUGGGUUUAGUCACUUGGCUCCAGACUGAAGCAUUUCCCAUAGUGAACCAAAGGUUGUGUGUUGUAAAGUCCCUGUUAGUUGGUCAUAUCGUAUUGCGUAUAUAUAUAUAUAAAAUGUGUAUAUUGUUAUUUCUAUUCAGGCACCUGAGACAGCCCAGGUAGCUCCGUAGGGUCCUAGAGUUUUACUAGGUGAGCGGGGCUACGUCAAAGCUUGUUGCUCCGCGAUUGCAUAACCCGCCAUGACAGAGAAUGCGUUCGUGAAGACACUCCCACUAAUUGCCAUUCCUUUUUCGGGUUUUGCAUCCUCCAAUAAUAUGUACCCCAGGAACUGGAGCUGUUUAUCGUUGCGUUUUUGCUUAUACCAGAGUAUUCGGUUGUAGUCCUGAAUGCUGUGGGAGCAUUUCAGUGGGGCCAUUGCUCUUGACUCAAUGGCCACAACCAUCUCGGGCGGAGUUUGGUGAACCUUGUCGCUAUUAGAUGCACCUAUGGAGAAAAUAAGAACCAAAGAGGCAAAAUUGAAAUGUGGGGACUGAUACAGUCAUUAGUAUUCAGAUGUGGAGGAUCUGCUUUAGUCGUGGAGAACUAGUCACAAAUGUAACAUUGUAGAAUGUCCAACAAUGAAGCCAAAUAAGAUGGCAUUUAAGGAAAGUACCUGAUACGACCGUAAAUGAAAUUGUUAGAGCGAGGAAUGUGAUUGUCAACAUAUUUGUCUCGUGAUCAAUCAAUGCUAGUUAGCUUGUGACUGAUCCUAAUAAACACAACCCUAAUUCAGUACAUUUCCUACGUGCGAUAACCUUUCAACUUGCAUCGUUUUGAUGGCAGUGGCUCCUAUUUCCAUCUCGCAACCAUACCGGAACCCAAGUGUGGGAGGAGCCAUUUUGUGUAAAUGUUUAGAAGAGAGGAAGUGAUGCCAUCAGAAUGUCUAACCGUACAGCACUGAUGUUCACCUAGACUCUGUAUUUGCCAUCCAGUCCCCUCCUCCCACUAUUGUAUGAUGUACGUCCUGGCAACUCAUUUACGCACUUAAUGUACGCACUUACUGUAUGUUGUUUUUAUUCAUAGUAGCUACUUAAUUGUAUAGCAUCUGCAUUAGCUAGCUCACUGCAACAGCGAAUGGGUUAACCUUGCGAUUGUUAGUACUUGUGCUUGGUUUAUGAAAAUCCUUGCUGCACAGACAGCGAUAUAUUGUUUCACUUCUUAUGAAUGUACUUAUUGUAAGUCACUUUGGAUAAAAGUGUCUGCUAAAUGCCCUAAAUGUAAAUGUAAAUGUAUGGUGGUGACAUUUUUUGUAGAGACUGGAACCAGUUGGAUGUAGAAAAAAAUUAUUGCUAACCCCGAAAAGAUCGCUUUCAGUUUUGUUGAGGAAAAUCCCUCAUGUAGUAUGUACAGUAAUGAAGACAAAUCUGACUAAAUCGUGGGAAAGAAGCUGAGACAACCGUAAACUUAAUUAUUUGAAUACAGUAUCUCCUAUUUCCACCUCACAAUCGUACCGAAAUGACAAAUGUGGGAGGAGACAUUUUGUGUAAAUAUUUAGAAGAGAGAAGGUAAUGCUAUCAAAAUGUUAAAAAUGUCAUCCCUGAUCUGUUAAAUUUUCUUUUUUUAUUGUAACUUCAACACAAACAAAUUAAAGAACACCCCCUAGUGCUG
Molecule: long non-coding RNA, 3152 nt
Organism: Gadus morhua (Atlantic cod)
Lineage: Eukaryota; Metazoa; Chordata; Actinopteri; Gadiformes; Gadidae
Exons: 5
Source: RefSeq, a predicted model, not a curated record